CCCUAUGGGGUGCAGCAGGCGAGAAAACUUUGCAAUGUGCGAAAGCACGACAAGGUUAAUCCGAGUGUUUUCUGCUAAAGAAAUCUUUUGUCAGUCCUAAAAACACUGAUGAAUAAGGGGUGGGCAAGUUCUGGUGUCAGCCGCCGCGGUAAAACCAGCACCUCAAGUGGUCAGGAGGAUUAUUGGGCCUAAAGCAUCCGUAGCCUGCUUUGUAAGUUUUCGGUUAAAUCCAUGUGCUCAACAUAUGGGCUGCCGGGAAUACUGCACAGCUAGGGAGUGGGAGAGGUAGACGGUACUCGGUAGGAAGGGGUAAAAUCCUUUGAUCUAUUGAUGACCACCUGUGGCGAAGGCGGUCUACCAGAACACGUCCGACGGUGAGGGAUGAAAGCUGGGGGAGCAAACCGGAUUAGAUACCCGGGUAGUCCCAGCUGUAAACUAUGCAAACUCAGUGAUGCGUUGGCUUGUAGCCAGUGCAGUGCCGCAGGGAAGCCGUUAAGUUUGCCGCCUGGGAAGUACGUACGCAAGUAUGAAACUUAAAGGAAUUGGCGGGGGAGCACCACAAGGGGUGAAGCCUGCGGUUCAAUUGGAGUCAACGCCAGAGAUCUUACCCGGAGAGACAGCAGAAUGAAGGUCAAGCUGAAGACUUUACCAGACAAGCUGAGAAGUAGUGCAUGGCC
Molecule: ribosomal RNA, 677 nt
Filed under: uncultured archaeon
Lineage: Archaea
Description: bacterial SSU rRNA
Rfam family: Archaeal small subunit ribosomal RNA
Source: RNAcentral